This 400-nucleotide ribosomal RNA is filed under the name uncultured eukaryote. Its description in RNAcentral is "SSU rRNA". It matches the Rfam family "Eukaryotic small subunit ribosomal RNA", at positions 567 to 979 of the family's 1831-position model. The record is from RNAcentral.
CCAGCACCUGCGGUAAUUCCAGCUCCAAUAGCGUAUAUUAAAGUUGUUGCAGUUAAAAAGCUCGUAGUUGGAUUUGUGGUAUCACACAAGAUCUAAUUUUAGUGUCCUGCAGUGUUGCCAUCUUUGGGUGGAAUCUGUGUGGCAUUAGGUUGUCGUACAGGGGAUUCCCAUCGUUUACUGUGAAAAAAUUAGAGUGUUCAAAGCAGGCUUAUGCCGUUGAAUAUAUUAGCAUGGAAUAAUGAGAUAGGACCUGGGUACUAUUUUGUUGGUUUGCGCACCUAGGUAAUGAUUAAUAGGGACAGUUGGGGGUAUUCGUAUUCCAUUGUCAGAGGUGAAAUUCUUGGAUUUUUGGAAGACGAACUACUGCGAAAGCAUUUACCAAGGAUGUUUUCAUUAAUCA